AUGAUAAACGUAUGUAUGUCCUUCAUGUCCUACAGUUCUUCAUCAAAGCAGCAGAGGGAGCCUCAAUGCGUCCUGAUGUCCCCUCCAGCUGAUCAGACAGCUGUUCUCUAUCAAAUUACAGAAGUAAUAACAACAAACAGGACAACAAGGAGCACUUCAGUUUAUCACGUUCCAACACAUCUAGAGGAAUCCUUGUUUGACACAAGUGACCCGGACCUCAGCUGGAGCUGGACCCUCCAGGUGCGCGCUGACGAGCCCGAGGAGCGUGCGUGCCGCUGGUCGGAGUCACGCGCACAGGUGAGCUCGGCAUCGUGCGUCCGGGACAGAGUGCGCGGGCUGUACGUGCGCGUGCGCGGCGCGGAUCUCCUCCUCGCGGCCACACCGAGGAAGUCGUGUCCCGAACUUCUCCCCCUUUUUCUCCCCGUUUUCUCCCCGCUGCUUCCGGGCCGCUCGGCUGCGGAGCUCCACGAGGACCCGGUGCCCCGGAGACCGGCAGCUCCGCGCGGGAGAGAGAGCGCGUUUCCACGGCAACACGCGGAAGCGUUUGUGUGGACCAGAAACUCCAACCAAAGCACCACAGAAGAAGAAGAAGAAGUUUGCGUAGAAGCAGAAGAAGAAGCACAAACGGCAGGAAGCCAAGAUGGGGAGGAAGAAGAUCCAGAUCGCACGAAUCAUGGACGAACGGAACAGACAUCCGUUUGAAAGUCACGUGUGUGUCACGCUGACACACACAGACACAGACACACAUCCACUUCCUGGAAGUGAGGUCACACGUGUCGGCGUUAAUUUAAAACCAGAUGAGGUGGUUUCCCUCUGAGGGGAUCUUACCGGGCUGCAGGUUCAGCUCUGUGAUUAUGGAAGAAGUCCAUUAAAACCCAAAUCCUCUUCGUCCUCCGGGA
Gasterosteus aculeatus (three-spined stickleback) is the source of this 899-nucleotide long non-coding RNA. The record is from Ensembl. NCBI's taxonomy places the organism in Eukaryota, Metazoa, Chordata, Actinopteri, Perciformes, Gasterosteidae.